Molecule: ribosomal RNA, 254 nt
Filed under: uncultured bacterium
Lineage: Bacteria
Description: partial 16S ribosomal RNA
Rfam family: Bacterial small subunit ribosomal RNA
Source: RNAcentral
UACGUAGGGGCCAAGCGUUGUCCGGAUUUAUUGGGCGUAAAGAGCUCGUAGGCGGUUCGGCAAGUCAGCUGUGAAAUCUCCACGCUCAACGUGGAGGGGUCAGCUGAUACUGCUGUGACUUGAGUCCGGUAGGGGAGUGUGGAAUUCCCGGUGUAGCGGUGAAAUGCGCAGAUAUCGGGAGGAACACCAGUAGCGAAGGCGGCACUCUGGGCCGGUACUGACGCUGAGGCGCGAAAGCUAGGGGAGCAAACGGG